AACGAACGCUGGCGGCAUGCCUAACACAUGCAAGUCGAACGAGACCUUCGGGUCUAGUGGCGCACGGGUGCGUAACGCGUGGGAACCUGCCCUUAGGUUCGGAAUAACUCUCCGAAUGGGGUGCUAAUACCGGAUAAUGUCUUCGGCCCAAAGAUUUAUCGCCUUUGGAUGGGCCCGCGUUGGAUUAGCUAGUUGGUAGGGUAAAAGCCUACCAAGGCGACGAUCCAUAGCUGGUCUGAGAGGAUGAUCAGCCACACUGGGACUGAGACACGGCCCAGACUCCUACGGGAGGCAGCAGUGGGGAAUAUUGGACAAUGGGCGAAAGCCUGAUCCAGCAAUGCCGCGUGAGUGAUGAAGGCCUUAGGGUUGUAAAGCGCUUUUACCCGGGAUGAUAAUGACAGUACCGGGAGAAUAAGCGCCGGCUAACUCCGUG
RNAcentral lists this ribosomal RNA (433 nucleotides) under uncultured bacterium. RNAcentral describes it as "partial 16S ribosomal RNA". It matches the Rfam family "Bacterial small subunit ribosomal RNA", at positions 29 to 507 of the family's 1533-position model. The record is from RNAcentral.